Molecule: ribosomal RNA, 207 nt
Filed under: uncultured bacterium
Lineage: Bacteria
Description: partial 16S ribosomal RNA
Rfam family: Bacterial small subunit ribosomal RNA
Source: RNAcentral
UACGUAGGCGGAUCGUUAAGUCAGAGGUGAAAUCCCGGAGCUCAACUUCGGAAUUGCCUUUGAUACUGGCGGUCUUGAGUUCGGGAGAGGUGAGUGGAACUGCUAGUGUAGAGGUGAAAUUCGUAGAUAUUAGCAAGAACACCAGUGGCGAAGGCGGCUCACUGGCCCGAUACUGACGCUGAGGUACGAAAGCGUGGGGAGCAAACA